Long non-coding RNA from Eurytemora carolleeae, 270 nucleotides. RefSeq lists it as uncharacterized. The transcript is spliced from 3 exons. Lineage: Eukaryota; Metazoa; Arthropoda; Copepoda; Calanoida; Temoridae. The record is from RefSeq and is a predicted model, not a curated record.
CCUGCAGCUGUCCAUAUAAUAAUUAGUGUUUUGUUUUCAGGAGAAAUAAAUCUGUUGAAUGGGAUGAAAAGAUGAUUCCUAUUAAGAAUUCUGAGAUGAUAGCUGAGAGUGAAAAGCCUGCCGAUAUGUGGCCAAAACGAAGAAAGAGUGAUCUUCUGAUCUACCAACAGACAAGAAACCUAUAAUAAUAUAUUAAUCAGUAUCAUGAUUUUGGCACAGUUCUCGAUAGAGAUGGGCAUGUUCGGCAAUUUUAACCAGUUGUUCAGAAAA